This 378-nucleotide ribosomal RNA is filed under the name uncultured bacterium. Its description in RNAcentral is "bacterial SSU rRNA". It matches the Rfam family "Bacterial small subunit ribosomal RNA", at positions 30 to 420 of the family's 1533-position model. The record is from RNAcentral.
AUUGAACGCUGGCGGCAGGCCUAACACAUGCAAGUCGAGCGGGGUUUUCGGACCUAGCGGCGGACGGGUGAGUAAUGCGUAGGAAGCUACCCGAUAGAGGGGGAUACCAGUUGGAAACGACUGUUAAUACCGCAUAAUGUCUACGGACCAAAGUGUGGGACCUUCGGGCCACAUGCUAUCGGAUGCGCCUACGUGGGAUUAGCUAGUUGGUGAGGUAAUGGCUCACCAAGGCGACGAUCUCUAGCUGGUUUGAGAGGAUGAUCAGCCACACUGGAACUGAGACACGGUCCAGACUCCUACGGGAGGCAGCAGUGGGGAAUAUUGGACAAUGGGCGCAAGCCUGAUCCAGCCAUGCCGCGUGUGUGAAGAAGGCCUCGG